RNAcentral lists this ribosomal RNA (497 nucleotides) under uncultured bacterium. RNAcentral describes it as "partial 16S ribosomal RNA". It matches the Rfam family "Bacterial small subunit ribosomal RNA", at positions 28 to 507 of the family's 1533-position model. The record is from RNAcentral.
GAUGAACGCUGGCGGCGUGCCUAAUACAUGCAAGUCGAGCGAACAGACGAGGAGCUUGUUCCUCGGACGGUAGCGGCGGACGGGUGAGUAACACGUGGAUAACCUACCUAUAAGACUGGGAUAAUAUCGGGAAACCGGAGCUAAUACCGGAGAAUAUAUUGAACCGCAUGGUUCAAUAGUGAAAGACGGUUUUGGUGUCAGUUAUAGAUGGAUCCGCGCCGCAUUAGCUAGUUGGUAAGGUAACGGCUUACCAAGGCAACGAUGCGUAGCCGCCCUGAGAGGGGGAUCGGCCACACUGGAACUGCGCCACGGUCCAGACUCCUACGGGAGGCAGCAGUAGGGAAUCUUCCGCAAUGGGCGGAAGCCUGACGGAGCAACGCCGCGUGGGUGAUGAAGGUCUUCUGAUCGUAAAGCUCUGUUAUUGGGAAAGAACCAAUGUGGACGUAUCUAUGCACGUCUUGACGGUACCUGAUCAAAAAGCCCCGGCUAACUACGUG